Anarrhichthys ocellatus (wolf-eel) is the source of this 1165-nucleotide long non-coding RNA. RefSeq lists it as uncharacterized. The transcript has 4 exons. Lineage: Eukaryota; Metazoa; Chordata; Actinopteri; Perciformes; Anarhichadidae. The record is from RefSeq and is a predicted model, not a curated record.
ACAACUGAAAAUCAAUUCAUCAAAUAAAUACAUAGUGUAUAUGCCAGAAAUAUCCAUUUACUAAAAAAAGGUUUGUCACGUGAACAAGCUGCACCAUGUUCAACUGUCAGUCGCACCCAAAAGAAAUGCGCAACGAGAGUCUUUUUACGCACAAUCCCCCUGAGCAUCGGACACACCUUGCAGCGUAUUUACCCGCUCUAAUGGGAGAUAAGGACAUUCAUCACAUUCCUAUAAUAACAAUGCUGUUUUUUCUGUACCUGAAUGAAAUAAAUCUGCUGGUCCUUCUCGCUUGAUGAGCUCCAACAGCUGCAAACAAGUUUGUUUUUUUCCCUGCAAGUUUGAGGAUUUUCCCACGGUUCUCUCUAGUGUGGAGCUGAGGAGGGGUCCAAAAGUAGGAUCCAGAGAGGAAGAAGAAAUGCGCACUCAAUAUCUGCAAAGGAGAGAGGGGGAGGAAGAGAGAGAUAGAGAGUGAGAGGGAGAGAGACACAGACACAGACAGACAAACUGCAAGAGGUGACAUAUGUGGUCGGUUCAUUUUCUUCUCGGUCUUCGUGGCACCAUGAAAGGACGAUUCAGUCUCUUCUCAAAUAAACGGAGCUGAAUUUAAUUUUCUGUUUAACUGUUUAUCAUUUUCAACAUAUCUUCGAUGGAUUUUUUUUAUCUGAGAGGUUUCUUGCGCUCUUGGUGCAAAUGUCUCUUCUUCAUCACCAUCAUGCGGUUCAGCUGUUGUUGAAUGUGAAAGGAUCCAAGCUUGAGGUGGAAAUGGAUUCUCCGAAACGAGCUCCUGUCAUGGAGAGAAAAUGAGCUCCAUCACAUGAUGGACGACGUGCGUCUGUGGCUCAAAGACACUCAUCGUUCCGUCUGCGGAGUAUAGAGGAUGUUCUACAACAGAAAUGCUCCGUGUGACGCAACACAGUACGUCAAGCUGCAAGAGGAGAGGAAGAUCACAGCCUGUGGGGCAGUUGGGACACUUUCCUAAGGAAGUGUACAGCCUUGAGGCUGCUGCAGUUCAAACAAUACGUUCAUUAAUGAAAGCUAACAUACAACAAUGAAGUAUCUUCCGGAGUUCUUCUGAUUACGAGUACUAAAACAAGCAAAACACCCCCUCUGCCAACAGCUCAGGGCCAGACAGCCGCCUCCCGACCCAGCUAUGGCUCCCCCUAGC